This 460-nucleotide ribosomal RNA is filed under the name uncultured bacterium. Its description in RNAcentral is "partial 16S ribosomal RNA". It matches the Rfam family "Bacterial small subunit ribosomal RNA", at positions 338 to 795 of the family's 1533-position model. The record is from RNAcentral.
CCUACGGGUGGCAGCAGUGAGGAAUAUUGGUCAAUGGACGAGAGCCUGAACCAGCCAAGUAGCGUGAAGGAUGACUGCCCUACGGGUUGUAAACUUCUUUUAUAAAGGAAUAAAGUGAUGCACGUGUGCCUUUUUGUAUGUACUAUAUGAAUAAGGAUCGGCUAACUCCGUGCCAGCAGCCGCGGUAAUACGGAGGAUCCGAGCGUUAUCCGGAUUUAUUGGGUUUAAAGGGAGCGUAGAUGGGUUGUUAAGUCAGUUGUGAAAGUUUGCGGCUCAACCGUAAAAUUGCAGUUGAUACUGGCAGCCUUGAGUACAGUUGAGGUAGGCGGAAUUCGUGGUGUAGCGGUGAAAUGCUUAGAUAUCACGAAGAACUCCGAUUGCGAAGGCAGCUUACUAAACUGCCACUGACACUGAUGCUCGAAAGUGUGGGUAUCAAACAGGAUUAGAUACCCGUGUAGUC